RNAcentral lists this ribosomal RNA (453 nucleotides) under uncultured Bacteroidales bacterium. Its description in RNAcentral is "bacterial SSU rRNA". It matches the Rfam family "Bacterial small subunit ribosomal RNA", at positions 917 to 1370 of the family's 1533-position model. Lineage: Bacteria; Pseudomonadati; Bacteroidota; Bacteroidia; Bacteroidales. The record is from RNAcentral.
GGGCCCGCACAAGCGGAGGAGCAUGUGGUUUAAUUCGAUGAUACGCGAGGAACCUUACCUGGGCUAGAACCGAUACUGCCGAUAUGUGAAAGCAUAUCUUCCUACGGGACGGUAUUGGAGGUGCUGCAUGGUUGUCGUCAGCUCGUGCCGUGAGGUGUCGGAUUAAGUUCCAUAACGAGCGCAACCCCUACUGUUAGUUGCCAGCGAGUAAUGUCGGGGACUCUAGCAGGACUGCCGGCGCAAGCCGAGAGGAAGGUGGGGAUGACGUCAAAUCAGCACGGCCCUUAUGUCCAGGGCUACACACGUGCUACAAUGGUCGAUACAGAGGGCAGCUACUUGGCGACAAGAUGCGAAUCUCGAAAAUCGAUCUCAGUUCGGAUCGAAGUCUGCAACUCGACUUCGUGAAGUUGGAUUCGCUAGUAAUCGCGCAUCAGCCAUGGCGCGGUGAAUACG